UGGUAGGGUGGGUGCUGAGGGCUACUAGGUCUUAAAUGAGCUUAAUCUGGUUUGGGAAGGUGACAACCGCUAAAAUUCCAGGCCUCCCAAGGCUCCAUUCCCACCACCCAGCAGUGGGCAGUGGGCUGGGCUGGCCUCCGGGCCUCACACCCCGCAGGGCCAGGGCCUCUCCCUGGAGUUGGUUGGGCUAAGGAGGCGGUUGGCUGGGUAGGUGGGCGGCUGGUGGCUGUCCGCAGGCCGGGGUCACUGAGGGCAUUUUACAUUGCUCUAAUCCUGUCCUCUUGGCAAGAAACCACCAAGAAACUUACUAAGCCCCCAGGGUUCAUUCCAAAUCCUGUCUGGGAGGGCAAGGACUGUGGAAACUUUCAGCUGCCUCAGACUCCAUCUUUAGCCAUCGAUUAGGUGGUUCGGCCGCUGACGGAACACCUGGGGUUCUUCAUGGGCCGCUGGGUCACUGAGGGCCCCAAAGAUUUGGGGCUCCUCCCAGGUGUCGGUUGGGCCAAGGAGGAGGCUGGGCUUUCAGAAUAGAACCUGCGGUGCUAACGAUGGCCCCGCAGGGCUGAGGGCCUGGGCGGCAUCCUGUGGCCCAGAGAUGGCGCUUUAGUAAUAUGAGGCCUUGAGUUUGCGCCUCUGGGCCCCCAUUCCCUCGUCACCUGCAGCCUGGUCUCUGCUUCCCCACUCCUGGUGAAUUGCGGUUGGAGCAGCCUCUCCUUUCUCGAUAGUGACCCGACCGAGCUCCCUGGGAAAGGCUUGACCCGGCCCUGUCCUGCCUCCCGUCUGGUGCCAGCCACACGCCAUUGUGCCCUCUCCCCACACACCCGCUGGGAGCUCGUGGGCCCUGGAGAACCGGACCCCAGAGCAGAGAGAGGCCACUGUCUUGGACUCUAAACCACUUAGUUUCUGCUUUACGUUUUUUUUUUUUUUAACAUUUUUUUUUUGCUUCAUUGUUGAAGUUCUUUAAUUCCACCACUACCCCAUGUUUAAAAUACCGUCUUUCUUUUUCCCUCUAACUUUUUUAUUUGGCAUACCCAAGGGAAAUAAUUUACUUCCCAGAGUAUAGGGGAUAGGGGGCAGUUGCAGAGUGCAUUUUAUUCAUUAAUAUCUGGGAAAGUUCUUUUACAGCGGCUCUGAAGUGAGACAAAUUGGAGAAAUUCUCCCUGCUCAGGAAAAGGUAGAGGCAAAGAUUUACUUAAAGAUGAGUAAUAAUAGUGUUACUGAUCAUAAGCUGCAUGUGGAAAAAAUAAUUAAAAAUAUUAAUACAAUUUCUCUGGAGUUGAAGAAGAUAAAAGAUGUGCAUGACAUGCUGAUGCUUAAAGCAGCCACAGCCAAGGGGACUGGGACUGCCAAGACUGGUUUGGACCAGUCAGAACUUACUACUGGAGCUGGGGAAAGGAGCACCUCAAAUGAAGCCAAGCUGUGACACCAAGAAGAAGAGGGCAUGGCCGUUAGUUUGGCACCAGAU
Callithrix jacchus (white-tufted-ear marmoset) is the source of this 1462-nucleotide non-coding RNA. NCBI's taxonomy places the organism in Eukaryota, Metazoa, Chordata, Mammalia, Primates, Cebidae. The record is from RefSeq and is a predicted model, not a curated record.